This 465-nucleotide ribosomal RNA is filed under the name uncultured bacterium. RNAcentral's name for it is "partial 16S ribosomal RNA". It matches the Rfam family "Bacterial small subunit ribosomal RNA", at positions 28 to 507 of the family's 1533-position model. The record is from RNAcentral.
GAUGAACGCUGGCGGCGUGCUUAACACAUGCAAGUCGAACGGAAAGGCUCCUGCUUGCAGGGGUACUCGAGUGGCGAACGGGUGAGUAACACGUGGGUGAUCUGCCCUGCACUUCGGGAUAAGCCUGGGAAACUGGGUCUAAUACCGGAUAGGACGAUGGUUUGGAUGCCAUUGUGGAAAGUUUUUCGGUGUGGGAUGAGCUCGCGGCCUAUCAGCUUGUUGGUGGGGUAAUGGCCUACCAAGGCGUCGACGGGUAGCCGGCCUGAGAGGGUGUACGGCCACAUUGGGACUGAGGUACGGCCCAGACUCCUACGGGAGGCAGCAGUGGGGAAUAUUGCACAAUGGGCGCAAGCCUGAUGCAGCGACGCCGGGUGGGGGAUGACGGCCUUCGGGUUGUAAACUCCUUUCGCUAGGGACGAAGCGCAAGUGACGGUACCUGGAGAAGAAGCACCGGCUAACUACGUG